ACGGGUGAGUAAUAUAUCGGAACGUGCCCAAUCGUGGGGGAUAACGUAGAGAAAUUUACGCUAAUACCGCAUACGAUCUAAGGAUGAAAGCGGGGGAUCGCAAGACCUCGCGCGAUUGGAGCGGCUGAUAUCAGAUUAGGUUGUUGGUAAGGUAAAAGCUCACCAAGCCGACGAUCUGUAGCUGGUUUGAGAGAACGACCAGCCACACUGGGACUGAGACACGGCCCAGACUCCUACGGGAGGCAGCAGUGGGGAAUUUUGGACAAUGGGCGAAAGCCUGAUCCAGCAAUGCCGCGUGCAGGAAGAAGGCCUUCGGGUUGUAAACUGCUUUUGUACGGAACGAAACGGCUCUUUCUAAUAAAGAGGGCUAAUGACGGUACCGUAAGAAUAAGCACCGGCUAACUACGUGCCAGCAGCCGCGGUAAUACGUAGGGUGCGAGCGUUAAUCGGAAUUACUGGGCGUAAAGCGUGCGCAGGCGGUUAUAUAAGACAGUUGUGAAAUCCCCGGGCUCAACCUGGGAAUUGCAUCUGUGACUGUAUAGCUAGAGUACGGUAGAGGGGGAUGGAAUUCCGCGUGUAGCAGUGAAAUGC
This 591-nucleotide ribosomal RNA is filed under the name uncultured Polaromonas sp. RNAcentral's name for it is "bacterial SSU rRNA". It matches the Rfam family "Bacterial small subunit ribosomal RNA", at positions 102 to 689 of the family's 1533-position model. Lineage: Bacteria; Pseudomonadati; Pseudomonadota; Betaproteobacteria; Burkholderiales; Comamonadaceae. The record is from RNAcentral.